UUGGCCCUAGAAACCCGUGCUUAGGGUUUGUCGUCGACUUCUUCUUCCAGAAGCGACCUCGCCGAUGUAAUUGAUGAAACCAAACUGUCGAUCUGAGCUCUGUAACACCUCCUGAUCCAUAAAUCAUUUAUUUACUCUGAGUAUUCCUCAAUUAAUCCACUCCACCCAUGUUAAUCAAACAAAAUACCUCUUCGUUUUCCACCUGGUUCGAGCUUCCCCUAUAAAUGUCUCUCAUUUCUACGAUGUGGAGUACAACGCAAACAAUUUCCAAAAGCAAUUAUUUGGAUGUUGGAGUCUCUGUCAGAUAUUCAAAUAACACAAUUGAGGAACCACAAUAUCUAUCUCACACAGAUGUUUCCUGCGACUGCGAUAAUUCAGCGUCCAAACCUCCAUCCUUGGAGAUUGGUCACGUUUAGACUAUGGAGUUGAGCUUCAGGAUACGUUGAUGUUAGACUUCAACUGCUGCCAGCUACUCUAAAUUUGUGAUUGUGAGCCGUGAAAUAAGAAGUGCUUUAGUGGCAUAAUGUCCCCCCAAUCGAUUCAGUGGUACACACUUAUCAUACUCCUCUUUUUACCUUGACUAUGUAGUAACAAGAUUGACAGAUCUGCACUUUCUCCUUUUUCCCUUUAGACUAUGAGGUUUUCCCUUUAGAUUUCUAUUUCUUAUUUUUAUUCAACUGUUUAAGAAUCUCUCAGAAUUUCAUUCCACAAUGUCAAAAACUCCAGAUUUUCCAGGUAAAGUAACCUGCAAAAUCUUAACUUCCUCUCUUCUCUACGUAUCUUUAAUGUUUGAUUGAUAUUUUCGCAGAUGAGGCCCUGCAACAACAUAAUCCGACAUUAAAGAGACUCGCAAGAGGCUCUUGCAGCUUAAAAAGCUUCUUGAAGAGGUCUUCGAUGCUCUCAUGAACCUCACUGUUGACUUGGUUUUAACUGCUCAUCCUACUCAAUCUAAUCAUUGGUCUUUGCUCCAAAUUUUUGGGAGGUUUGUAGACCUUUUCCUGAGUGUCUAUGCUUGAUAAAUGAUGUGUUUAACUGUUGAACAUUUCUGAAUCCAUGAAACCCGCAAGUAACUCAUGAAGUUACAUAUAUAUAUAUGCUUACGAGCUUGGUUCGAGGUGGGAGGAUCAGUUUACUCAUUCACCAUUCCUAUUGCAAUUUGAAAGUUGAAGAGUCUUUUUUUUCACUGGUUGAAGAGUCUCAUAAUGGUUCUAUA
Brassica oleracea var. oleracea is the source of this 1213-nucleotide long non-coding RNA. RefSeq lists it as uncharacterized. The transcript is spliced from 3 exons. The record is from RefSeq and is a predicted model, not a curated record. Lineage: Eukaryota; Viridiplantae; Streptophyta; Magnoliopsida; Brassicales; Brassicaceae.